GGAGGGACUGGGCAGGGCAGCCAGCUGGGCAGGAAAAGUCUUUGUGCCUAGCUUGCGUGGGGAAGUGUAGCUUCUCUCCCUCUUCCCUCUGUUCUCCGACAAGCGAGGGAGUGACUCAUAUGGUCUUUCUUUAAGGAGAGGAGAUUUCCAGUGUAAAAUGAUUGGACAAUGAGAUGGAAACCAAUCACGCAACUUUUUUUCUCUUUCUUUCCUUUGGUAAAUGUUGAUUUCCUGACUGAAUCAGCAGCACCAGCCACUCAACCUCUGCUGGCAGGUGGAUGACCGAGAGUAACCUCUGCGUAGCCCCAGUCAGCGGCAACCACCCUCCCGCCUCCUUAGCACAAAAGACAGCCGCAACGCAAAGCAAGCAGCUCAGCUCAGCCUGAAGCUCUGCAACCAGUUUUGGGGAGCAAGCAAUGGCCCUGGUUUGUGACCCCAGCCCCCUCCAUCCUCGCCAAGAUCCGGGGAGAGAGCAGAUCCACGGAACCAGAGCUACAGUGAGGUCCACCCCCGACCCGCAGCAAACGUACCUUUGGGAAUGGGCAGUAAACUCAGGUCAGUUUCCAGCAAUCCUUCUAGCUCCCUCCGCACUCCACGCCACCUCCACCUUCCCCCCACCCCCGCCUCCCAAAAGACAGAAGAAUGGAGAGAAUCAAAAGAGACAUAUACAGCCUCCAGCGUAGAGGCAUAUGAGGGAAAUAAGAUACACUGCAUUUCACACUUAUUCGUGGACUGAGGUGAGAAAAUGUUAUGGAGAGUUGGGUAUUUCCCCUAAAAGUCCAUAGAGCUGACACACCCUUCCCUGAACCAGAAUGAUUUGCACAUCUCCCACUCUCAAAUGCUCUCUCCAUUUCACGUGGCAAUACAAUCCCUGGCAGAAACGCAGUCCCUAUAUCUCUCCUCUCACAAUUAGAGCUGUUUUGUCCUCGAGAUAAUCUCGGGUGGUGGCAAAGUGUCCUCUUUCUCAGUCCCCAACCUAUUUCAGGUGGUUACCCGCCCAAUUUCUUUAUAAGAGGGGGGGGACUAGAUUAGCCCCAAUUAAUCUGAAGGACGCUGCCCCCGGGGCGUGGUCCUCCACCAUCAGGAUCCCAGAGUCCUCCCCACUUACCGCAUCUGUCGCGUAUCUUUUCAGCCACCGGCUGCAGGCUGCUACUACACUUUCUGACCGCCUCCCCCUUUGCCCACUUUGACUUCAUUCAUCCCCUUUCACCAAGACUCCGCCCCUAUUUUCGAGUGGCUGGAGCGGCUUCCAAUCGGACGAGGGCACAGGUCUAUGGCCUUACUGACAGUGACCAAUUGCAGCGCUGCUUCAGGAUCCUCUGUUUCCCUUCCCCCCCCCCAGCUGGCCGCAGUUUGAGCACCUGAAAUUGACAGUUUGGGAGGGCUUUGUAGAAGGGAGGUUGGCGGAUAUGGGUGAAGGAAAGUCUGUGGGAGAGAGUGGGUCAUCGAGAAGGCGUGGAAUAAAGGUGGGGAGGAGAAAAGGAAAACA
This 1489-nucleotide long non-coding RNA is filed under the name Phascolarctos cinereus (koala). Its description in RNAcentral is "lncRNA (ENSPCIG00000034694.1)". The record is from RNAcentral. Lineage: Eukaryota; Metazoa; Chordata; Mammalia; Diprotodontia; Phascolarctidae.